UUUAUAGCCUCUGGCUAUAGGAAAUUGUUAGUGGCAGACGGGUGAGUAAUGCGUAGGAAUCUACCUAGUAGUACGGAAUAGCCAUUAGAAAUGGUGGGUAAUACUGUAUAAUCCCCGAGGGGGAAAGAUUUAUCGCUAUUAGAUGAGCCUACGUUAGAUUAGCUAGUUGGUGAGGUAAUGGCUUACCAAGGCUAUGAUCUAUAGCUGGUCUGAGAGGACGAUCAGCCUCACUGGAACUGAGAUACGGUCCAGACUCCUACGGGAGGCAGCAGUGGGGAAUAUUGGACAAUGGGCGAAAGCCUGAUCCAGCCAUGCCGCGUGAGUGAAGAAGGCCUUCGGGUUGUAAAACUCUUUCAAUAGGGAAGAUAAUGACGGUACCUAUAGAAGAAGUCCCGGCAAACUCUGUGCCAGCAGCCGCGGUAAUACGGAGGGGGCAAGCGUUGUUCGGAAUUAUUGGGCGUAAAGGGCACGUAGGUGGACUAGUAAGUUAAAAGUG
RNAcentral lists this ribosomal RNA (496 nucleotides) under Ehrlichia canis. RNAcentral describes it as "bacterial SSU rRNA". It matches the Rfam family "Bacterial small subunit ribosomal RNA", at positions 70 to 596 of the family's 1533-position model. Lineage: Bacteria; Pseudomonadati; Pseudomonadota; Alphaproteobacteria; Rickettsiales; Anaplasmataceae. The record is from RNAcentral.